AUUAUUUUUCGGAAAAUCUAGCUAAGGUCUAAUUAACUAUUCCGAAUCCGUUUCAUAAACUACUUUUUUCGGAGUUGCUGGUUGCGGAACUGGAGGGGCCGGUACUAGACGAACAGGUGCCGGCGGUGCGGGAGGGGCUGGUGCUGGAGGAACAGGUGCCGGUGCUGGACGUACUGGUGCCGGUGCAGGAUUAACCGAGAGAUAAAACCAGAAAGCAUCUUGGGGAUUAGGUGGUAGAGCCCUCUUACGAGGUAAUUGUUUCACUCUACGUGGCAUUUUUAAAAUCUAAAAAAAAAUUAAUUAAUUUAUUAUUAAACAAAUAAUUAAUUAAAUAAACAUUCAUUUUUAAACAAAUAAUAAUUUUAUUAAUAAAAACAAUCAAUUAAACAUUUAUUACAUAAGAAUUAUUUUAUAAUUUCAUGCAAAAUUUUCAUUAUUUAAAACAAUAUAUUAAUUAAUUAUUUAAUUAAUUAAAACUUUUUUUAAAUUAUUUAAAAAAAGUAAAUAAAAUAAUUUUUUAAUUAAUUAAAACAAAAUAAAAUAAUAUUUCUUGCAAAUUAAAUAAUAUUUCAUUUUAAUUAAACAAAUUUAUUUCAUGCAAAUAAUUCAUUAAUAAUUUACUUCAUGUAAAUUUAAUAAUUUAAAUUAAAUGAUUAAAAAAAUAUUUUUAAUUUUUACCAUAAAUAGAGUUUACUUCAAUCCUAGAUUUCACAAUUUUUCGAUUUCCAAAAACCUACAACAACACAAUAAAUAUUUAUAACAUUAUUUAAAUUAUUUAUAAAUA
This 784-nucleotide long non-coding RNA is filed under the name Zostera marina. RNAcentral's name for it is "long non-coding RNA (ZMAR_LNC001589)". Lineage: Eukaryota; Viridiplantae; Streptophyta; Magnoliopsida; Alismatales; Zosteraceae. The record is from RNAcentral.